UCGUAACAAGGUUUCCGUAGGUGAACCUGCGGAAGGAUCAUUGUCGAUGCCCGACCGACCGAACGACCCGCGAACCCGUCAUCGCGUUUCGGGGGGCGGAGCGCGGGCGCCCUCGGCUCCCCGCGUUCCCCCUCCCCUCGGGUCUCUCGGGGGUGCGGACGAGAACCCUCGCCCGCUCCUCGGGGACCCGUAACGAACCCACGGCGCGGGCUGCGCCAAGGAAAACUCUAACGAGAGACGGAGGGAGCGCUCCCGUCGCCCCGGAGACGGAUCGGCGCCCGGGACGCGUUCCCCUUCUUUCGACGAAAGAUCCGAAACGACUCUCGGCAACGGAUAUCUCGGCUCUCGCAUCGAUGAAAAAUGCGAUACUUGGUGUGAAUUGCAGAAUCCCGUGAACCAUCGAGUCUUUGAACGCAAGUUGCGCCCCAAGCCUUUAGGCCGAGGGCACGUCUGCCUGGGUGUCACGCAUCGUCGCCCCUCCCCAGCCGACCCCGCCCCGCGGGGCCUGGCUGGACGGGCGGAGACUGGCCUCCCGUGCGCUCCCGCUCGCGGUUGGCCCAAAUACGAGUCCCUCGGUGACCGUGCCGCGACGAUCGGUGGCGGAACCAGCCCCUCGAGUUCCCGUCGCGCGCUCGCGUCCCCGUGCCACGGGCUCGCCGACCCUAGAUCGGGCGCGUCCCCUCCUCGGGGGGACGGCGCUCGCCUUGCGACCCCAGGUCAGGCGGGAAUACCCGCUGAGUUUAAGCA
This 747-nucleotide small RNA is filed under the name Trichilia trifolia. RNAcentral describes it as "eukaryotic LSU rRNA". The stretch from base 319 to 464 matches the Rfam family "5.8S ribosomal RNA". Lineage: Eukaryota; Viridiplantae; Streptophyta; Magnoliopsida; Sapindales; Meliaceae. The record is from RNAcentral.